This 914-nucleotide long non-coding RNA is filed under the name Helianthus annuus (common sunflower). RNAcentral's name for it is "hypothetical non coding rna". Lineage: Eukaryota; Viridiplantae; Streptophyta; Magnoliopsida; Asterales; Asteraceae. The record is from RNAcentral.
UUUAGACAUUCCAAGCUAAACCUACACCAAAUAUCCCAAAGAGAGCAGCAGCCUUUGAUUGGCUUUUGACGCACAUAAACGCCAAAACUUUUAUAUCUUCCAAAACCUUGGACACGGAGAUCUGCUUAUAGUGCGUUGCGCGAGCGUUUGGUAUUUUUGUCUUGGCAGUGGGAUGGGGGUUUUAUAUUUGCAUUCACAAUACAUCAGUUGUUCGAAAAAUGUUGGUUCCUGGUUCUUGUUGAUAAAUAGGUGUUUGAUGUUCUAGCUGCUGCCAUGGUUCUCGCCUUUCUUGGAUGGGGGAGUUUUAUCAUCUGCAGGAAGUGUUUUAGCUAGCGCGGGAUUUGGGUUUAGGCUUCUCGAAGCCGACUUGAGGCAAUUACAACCAGCUAGUUUAUCUUCAAAUGGCCUUUUGCAGCAGCCACAAUAGCAACCACAUUUAAUAAAUGAUGAAUGUUUUCCGUGACACGGAAUCGCAGCCAUAGCCACCGUACAAACCGAUGUAAAUUCCGGCGAACGACGGAGAUAAACCACCACCAAUAGGGUUCACAUUGGAGCCCUAGGUCAUCUUCGGUUAGACCACCAUCAGUCACCAUCGUCGCUAGAGUCGCCGGGUUAGCGGCUGUCGUGAGAGAGUUCAGUCACCCAUUGGAGAUAUUGAGGCAAAGAUUAACCCUAAUGUGUUGCAGGAUAAAUCGAAGAUGAAACGGUGGAGGUAUUGAGAGACACGUGGGGAUAACGUGGCCAUCAAUGGAUCUGUUUAUGUAUGGCCCAAUGAAGAGUGCCAGGGUGUUUUGGCACUCAUUCCCUCAGCUUAUUAUCAUAUUUAGAUAGAUUAGAUUAGAUUCUUUACUUAUUCUUUUUUAUAUAUGAUUUUUUAUGAAUAACAUUUAUUAUAACUUGUUAUACAUAAUUUA